Non-coding RNA from Paramuricea clavata, 491 nucleotides. The record is from the annotation of a GenBank genome assembly. Lineage: Eukaryota; Metazoa; Cnidaria; Anthozoa; Malacalcyonacea; Plexauridae.
GCGGUAAUGCCGAAUAUAAACAUCAAUCAAGGACCACUGUUCCUGUGGCUCCGUUCCUACGGAGAUUCGAAAGAGUACUUAACUAUUGGAGUUCAUGUAGAAACGAUGGAACGCACGAUCGAACAGGAUAACCGCGUCCUGUGUGCAAAAUGAAUCGUAGUCUGUGUCUUUGUGACUAUUUGGGGCUGAAACAAUCUGAAUGGCAAUUACUCGUUGUUUACGAAGAACAUGGAGGUGUGUUACAGCCAAUAUUUGGAGAUUAUUCCAGAUGUUUAAUCAGCUGUAACCUAAUUUUAAUAAAGCACUCGAGCAUGUACUGUAUAAGUCGUUGUAAUUCAAAACUCUCGUCAGUUGCUUAACACUGUCCAGUUGACUGUUCAGUCUGUUCUUGCUUGGUAAAUCUAAAUUUUUCUUAAAGAUGGUUUCAACAACAUUCAUUCUCCUAGUUCUCGUUGCUGUUGGCGCGAACGGCUGGUUGUUCCCCAAACCAG